RNAcentral lists this ribosomal RNA (553 nucleotides) under Lygus lineolaris (tarnished plant bug). RNAcentral describes it as "eukaryotic LSU rRNA". It matches the Rfam family "Eukaryotic large subunit ribosomal RNA", at positions 653 to 1157 of the family's 3401-position model. The record is from RNAcentral. Lineage: Eukaryota; Metazoa; Arthropoda; Insecta; Hemiptera; Miridae.
CUUGAAACACGGACCAAGGAGUUUAGCGUGUGCGCGAGUCAUUGGGUGUCAAAACCUAAAGGCGUAAUGAAAGUGAAGGAAACUUUGUUUUUGAGGGAGGAUGGGUUAGGUACCUUUUUUAAAGGACCGGCCUCGCACUCCCGGGGCGUCUCUAUCUCAUUGCGAGAGGAGGCGCACCUAGAGCGUACACGCUGAUACCCGAAAGAUGGUGAACUAUGCCUGGCCAGGACGAAGCCAGGGGAAACCCUGGUGGAGGUCCGCAGCGAUUCUGACGUGCAAAUCGAUCGUCGGAGCUGGGUUUAGGGGCGAAAGACCAAUCGAACCAUCUAGUAGCUGGUUCCCUCUGAAGUUUCCCUCAGGAUAGCUUGCGCUCGGAAACAACGAGUCUCAUCCGGUAGAGCGAAUGAUUAGAGGCCUUGGGGUCGAAACGACCUCAACCUAUUCUCAAACUCCAAAUAGAUGAGAACCCCGGCUUUCUUGAACUCUGUUUAUGAAGCCGGGGGCUCGGAUCAGAGUGCCAAGUGGGCCAAUUUUGGUAAGCAGAACUGGCGCU